GUGCCAGCAGCCGCGGUAAUACAGAGGGUGCAAGCGUUAUUCGGAAUUACUGGGCAUAAAGAGCGCGUAGGCGGUCUGAAAAGUCUGAUGUGAAAGCCCUGGACUCAAUCCAGGAAGUGCAUCGGAUACUAUCAGACUAGAGUGCAGGAGGGGAGAGCGGAAUUCCAGGUGUAGAGGUGAAAUUCGUAGAUAUCUGGAGGAACAACAGUGGCGAAGGCGGCUCUCUGGACUGUUACUGACGCUGAGGCGCGAAAGCGUGGGGAGCAAACAGGAUUAGAAACCCCUGUAGUCC
RNAcentral lists this ribosomal RNA (292 nucleotides) under uncultured bacterium. Its description in RNAcentral is "partial 16S ribosomal RNA". It matches the Rfam family "Bacterial small subunit ribosomal RNA", at positions 505 to 796 of the family's 1533-position model. The record is from RNAcentral.